GUGGGGAAUAUUGGACAAUGGGCGAAAGCCUGAUCCAGCCAUGCCGCGUGUGUGAAGAAGGUCUUCGGAUUGUAAAGCACUUUAAGUUGGGAGGAAGGGCAGUAAGUUAAUACCUUGCUGUUUUGACGUUACCAACAGAAUAAGCACCGGCUAACUUCGUGCCAGCAGCCGCGGUAAUACGAAGGGUGCAAGCGUUAAUCGGAAUUACUGGGCGUAAAGCGCGCGUAGGUGGUUCAGCAAGUUGAAGGUGAAAUCCCCGGGCUCAACCUGGGAACUGCCUCCAAAACUGCAUGACUAGAGUACGGUAGAGGGUAGUGGAAUUUCCUGUGUAGCGGUGAAAUGCGUAGAUAUAGGAAGGAACACCAGUGGCGAAGGCGACUACCUGGACUGAUACUGACACUGAGGUGCGAAAGCGUGGGGAGCAAACAGGAUUAGAUACCCCGGUAGUCC
Molecule: ribosomal RNA, 450 nt
Filed under: uncultured bacterium
Lineage: Bacteria
Description: partial 16S ribosomal RNA
Rfam family: Bacterial small subunit ribosomal RNA
Source: RNAcentral